RNAcentral lists this ribosomal RNA (468 nucleotides) under uncultured bacterium. Its description in RNAcentral is "partial 16S ribosomal RNA". It matches the Rfam family "Bacterial small subunit ribosomal RNA", at positions 28 to 507 of the family's 1533-position model. The record is from RNAcentral.
GACGAACGCUGGCGGCGUGCUUAACACAUGCAAGUCGAACGGAAAGGCCCUGCUUUUGUGGGGUGCUCGAGUGGCGAACGGGUGAGUAACACGUGAGUAACCUGCCCUUGACUUUGGGAUAACUUCAGGAAACUGGGGCUAAUACCGGAUAGGAGCUCCUGCUGCAUGGUGGGGGUUGGAAAGUUUCGGCGGCUGGGGAUGGACUCGCGGCUUAUCAGCUUGUUGGUGGGGUAGUGGCUUACCAAGGCUUUGACGGGUAGCCGGCCUGAGAGGGUGACCGGCCACAUUGGGACUGAGAUACGGCCCAGACUCCUACGGGAGGCAGCAGUGGGGAAUAUUGCACAGUGGGCGGGAGCCUGAUGCAGCAACGCCGCGUGCGGGAUGACGGCCUUCGGGUUGUAAACCGCUUUCGCCUGUGACGAAGCGUGAGUGACGGUAAUGGGUAAAGAAGCACCGGCUAACUACGUG